RNAcentral lists this ribosomal RNA (446 nucleotides) under uncultured bacterium. RNAcentral describes it as "bacterial SSU rRNA". It matches the Rfam family "Bacterial small subunit ribosomal RNA", at positions 330 to 793 of the family's 1533-position model. The record is from RNAcentral.
CCCAGACUCCUACGGGAGGCAGCAGUGGGGAAUAUUGCACAAUGGGGGAAACCCUGAUGCAGCGACGCCGCGUGAAGGAAGAAGUAUUUCGGUAUGUAAACUUCUAUCAGCAGGGAAGAAAAUGACGGUACCUGACUAAGAAGCCCCGGCUAACUACGUGCCAGCAGCCGCGGUAAUACGUAGGGGGCAAGCGUUAUCCGGAUUUACUGGGUGUAAAGGGGGCGCAGACGGCAGCGCAAGCCAGGAGUGAAAGCCCGGGGCCCAACCCCGGGACUGCUCUUGGAACUGCGCGGCUGGAGUGCAGGAGGGGCAGGCGGAAUUCCUGGUGUAGCGGUGAAAUGCGUAGAUAUCAGGAGGAACACCGGUGGCGAAGGCGGCCCGCUGGACUGCGACUGACGUUGAGGCCCGAAAGCGUGGGGAGCAAACAGGAUUAGAUACCCUAGUAC